Molecule: ribosomal RNA, 549 nt
Filed under: uncultured Rhizophagus
Lineage: Eukaryota; Fungi; Glomeromycota; Glomeromycetes; Glomerales; Glomeraceae
Description: SSU rRNA
Rfam family: Eukaryotic small subunit ribosomal RNA
Source: RNAcentral
UUGGAGGGCAAGUCUGGUGCCAGCAGCCGCGGUAAUUCCAGCUCCAAUAGCGUAUAUUAAAGUUGUUGCAGUUAAAAAGCUCGUAGUUGAAUUUCGGGGUCAGUAGGUCGGUCGUGCCACUGGUAUGAACUGGUUUUACUGAUUCCUCCCUCUUGAAGAACUGUAAUGCCAUUAAUUUGGUGUUGCAGGGAAUCAGGACUGUUACUUUGAAAAAAUUAGAGUGUUUAAAGCAGGCUUUAGCCUGAAUACAUUAGCAUGGAAUAAUGAAAUAGGACGUUUGAUCCUAUUUUGUUGGUUUCUAGGAUUGACGUAAUGAUUAAUAGGGAUAGUUGGGGGCAUUAGUAUUCAAUUGUCAGAGGUGAAAUUCUUGGAUUCAUUGAAGACUAACUACUGCGAAAGCAUUUGCCAAGGAUGUUUUCAUUAAUCAAGAACGAAAGUUAGGGGAUCGAAGACGAUCAGAUACCGUCGUAGUCUUAACCAUAAACUAUGCCGACUAGGGAUCGGAUGAUGUUAAUUUUUUAAUGACUCAUUCGGCGCCUUACGGGAAAC